This 72-nucleotide transfer RNA is filed under the name Ovis aries (sheep). It matches the Rfam family "tRNA". From Rfam's summary of the family: Transfer RNA (tRNA) molecules are approximately 80 nucleotides in length. Their secondary structure includes four short double-helical elements and three loops (D, anti-codon, and T loops). Lineage: Eukaryota; Metazoa; Chordata; Mammalia; Artiodactyla; Bovidae. The record is from Rfam by way of RNAcentral.
UCCCUUGUGGCUCAGUCGGUAAAGAAUCUGCCUGCAACGCAGGAGACCUGGGUUCGAUCCUUGGUCUGGGAA